AUAUAUGUUGGUUCAAGCGUGUAGUCAUAUCCCUUAGGCAAAUCCGGGGGACUUAGAUGAGGCGUGAUAACGAGUCUGCUUGCAGACGAAGUGAGUGAUACCCUGCUUCCAGGAAAAGCCACUAAGCUUCAGCUACAUAUUGACCGUACCGCAAACCGACGCUGGUGCGCGAGAUGAGUAUUCUAAGGCGCUUGAGAGAACUCUGGAGAAGGAACUCGGCAAAUUGACACCGUAACUUCGGAAGAAGGUGUGCCUUUAGUAGGUGAUGGGAUUUACUCCUUGAGCCCAAUGAGGCCGCAGAGAAUCGGUGGCUGCAACUGUUUAUUAAAAACACAGCACUCUGCAAAGACGAAAGUCGACGUAUAGGGUGUGACUCCUGCCCGGUGCUGGAAGAUUAAAUGAUGGGGUGCAAGCUCUUGACUGAAGUCCCAGUAAACGGCGGCCGUAACAAUAACGGUCCUAAGGUAGCGAAAUUCCUUGUCGGGUAAGUUCUGACCUGCACGAAUGGAGUAAUGAUGGCCACACUGUCUCCUCCAGAGACUCAGCGAAGUUGAAAUGUUUGUGAUGAUGCAAUCUCCCCGCGGAAAGACGGAAAGACCCCAUGAACCUUUACUGUAGCUUUACAUUGGACUUUGAACAGAUCUGUGUAGGAUAGGUGGGAGGCUUUGAAGUAGGGACGCUAGUUUCUAUGGAGCCAACGUUGAAAUACCACCCUGGUGUGUUUGAGGUUCUAACCUUGGUCCCUUAUCGGGAUUGGGGACAGUGUAUGGUGGGCAGUUUGACUGGGGCGGUCUCCUCCCAAAGUGUAACGGAGGAGUUCGAAGGUACGCUAAAUACGGUCGGAAAUCGUGUUGAUAGUGCAUUGGCAUAAGCGUGCUUGACUGCGAGACUGACAAGUCGAGCAGGUACGAAAGUAGGACAAAGUGAUCCGGUGGUUCUGUAUGGAAGGGCCAUCGCUCAACGGAUAAAAGGUACUCUGGGGAUAACAGGCUGAUACCGCCCAAGAGUUCAUAUCGACGGCGGUGUUUGGCACCUCGAUGUCGGCUCAUCUCAUCCUGGGGCUGUAGCCGGUCCCAAGGGUAUGGCUGUUCGCCAUUUAAAGAGGUACGUGAGCUGGGUUUAAAACGUCGUGAGACAGUUUGGUCCCUAUCUUCCGUGGGCGCUGCAAGAUUGAGAGAGCCUGCUCCUAGUACGAGAGGACCGGAGUGGACGCACCUCUGGUGUAUCGGUUGUCACGCCAGUGGCAUCGCCGAGUAGCUAAGUGCGGAAGAGAUAACCGCUGAAAGCAUCUAAGCGGGAAACUCGUCUCAAGAUGAGUCUUGCCGGGGCCUAGAGCCCCCUGAAGGGUCGUUCGAGACCAGGACGUUGAUAGGCUGGGUGUGGAAGCGCGGUAACGCGUUAAGCUAACCAGUACUAAUUGCCCGUGAGGCUUGACCC
RNAcentral lists this ribosomal RNA (1437 nucleotides) under metagenome. Its description in RNAcentral is "bacterial LSU rRNA". It matches the Rfam family "Bacterial large subunit ribosomal RNA", at positions 1500 to 2925 of the family's 2925-position model. The record is from RNAcentral.